This 503-nucleotide ribosomal RNA is filed under the name uncultured bacterium. Its description in RNAcentral is "partial 16S ribosomal RNA". It matches the Rfam family "Bacterial small subunit ribosomal RNA", at positions 30 to 523 of the family's 1533-position model. The record is from RNAcentral.
AUUGAACGCUGGCGGCAGGCUUAACACAUGCAAGUCGAGCGGGGUGAUGGUGCUUGCACUAUCACUUAGCGGCGGACGGGUGGGUAAUGCUUAGGAAUCUGCCUAUUAGUGGGGGACAACAUCUCGAAAGGGAUGCUAAUACCGCAUACGUCCUACGGGAGAAAGCAGGGGAUCACUUGUGACCUUGCGCUAAUAGAUGAGCCUAAGUCGGAUUAGCUAGUUGGUGGGGUAAAGGCCUACCAAGGCGACGAUCUGUAGCGGGUCUGAGAGGAUGAUCCGCCACACUGGGACUGAGACACGGCCCAGACGCCUACGGGAGGCAGCAGUGGGGAAUAUUGGACAAUGGGGGGAACCCUGAUCCAGCCAUGCCGCGUGUGUGAAGAAGGCCUUAUGGUUGUAAAGCACUUUAAGCGAGGAGGAGGCUCUUUUGGUUAAUACCCAAGAUGAGUGGACGUUACUCGCAGAAUAAGCACCGGCUAACUCUGUGCCAGCCGCCGCCGUAA